UCGUGCUAGAUGGGGAGAUAGCGGUUCCCUGUACCCGCAAUCCGCUAUAGCGGGGUCGAAUUCCCGUCUAGAGGUCUUCGAGAUUUCGGCGCGAUCGGCGAUAAGUGGCGUCGAAGGUCGGAUUCUGCGCAACGCGAGGCUUCCGAACUCCGUCAGGACCGGAAGGUAGCAGCGGUAGGAAUGUCCCCGCGUGUGUUGCAGAGUUAUCCGACUGGAGCUAACUGGCGCCGGGAAAACCGGAAAUCGGGAUCGAAGAUGGGUGCACGG
This 267-nucleotide signal recognition particle RNA is filed under the name Gemmatimonadota bacterium. RNAcentral's name for it is "Gemmatimonadetes bacterium (marine metagenome) signal recognition particle sRNA large type". It matches the Rfam family "Bacterial large signal recognition particle RNA". Rfam says of the family: The signal recognition particle (SRP) is a universally conserved ribonucleoprotein involved in the co-translational targeting of proteins to membranes. The record is from RNAcentral. Lineage: Bacteria; Pseudomonadati; Gemmatimonadota.